Molecule: RNA transcript, 4699 nt
Organism: Rhineura floridana
Lineage: Eukaryota; Metazoa; Chordata; Lepidosauria; Squamata; Rhineuridae
Gene: LIN28A
Gene name: lin-28 homolog A
Exons: 5
Source: RefSeq, a predicted model, not a curated record
UUCCUUCCUUCCUUCCUCGCUCUCUCUUUCUCUCUCUCUGUUUUGGAAAUGAGCUGCAUGCGGUGAAGUUCUUUCUAAACGCUUUCCAGUUCAGGCAUAGUGAUUAAGAUGUUUUCAAUUCCCCUCUCUGUUUUUUUAAGAAAGAAAAGGUUUGGUUUGAUUCCUUCUUUUUUUUUAAAAAAAACUGCUACUUUUUGAGAGAGCGGGCGGUAUAGCCACUUUUGGGUUCACCAUGUGCUUUUUCUUCUAGGAACUGGCGGGGGGGGAAGAGAAUUUGGGAAACUUUUUGGGUGCAACUUGGCAACUACAGAUUUAAGGCUGCAAUCUUCUGCAUAUUUUCCUCGUCGUAAAUCCCAUUAACCUCAGCGAGGUUUACUUAUGAGCAAACAUGGAAAUAAUUGCACUAUUUGUGUUUCCUUUCUAAGACGAAAUAAAAAUUUUUUUUAAAGCAGUGUAUAGAUUUCCAAAUGGUUUCUACAGAAACACUUUCCUUCCUGGAUUGUGUUUUCUGCCUUAAAUCUCACAUCCCCCCCAAAAAAUCAGAUACAACCUCCAAAUCUUUAGAAUAGUUUAAAAAAUGGACCAGGAAUGUCAUUCUGUCCCAUUCACUCGUUUCCCCCCCUCCCUCCUGUGAAAUACGACGUGGGAUCCCCACUCACCACGGGAUGUUGUGCAUUUGGAAAGGGGGGAUACCUCAGUUUCUUCAGCGUUUUGAAUCUGGGGUUUUUGUUAUCUUAUAGAAUUGGGAGGAGGGAGGCAGGGGAGUUUCCGGUUUUCUCCCUUCUCACCCCCCCUUUGGAUCUUAGCUGGGGAAUUCCCCCCUCCUCCUCCUUGGCUAGGUGCUUGCGAGUUAGGGAAAGGAAUCCCCUUUCUUCCCCACCCCCGGACGCCAGAGGCGAGGUUCUGAAUGGCUUCCUGCCGAGCCAUUUGUGCGGCUCCGCCGUGCGCUCAGCAGGGCUGGAGGUCGAGGCGAGUGGAGGAUGGUGGUGCGGUUUCCCGCUGGGAGGUGGUGGGUUGGUCGGGAGGUGGCUGCGCCAAGGCGGGCGAGGAAGAGCCCACGGGGGACUCGCCCAGGCCAGACGAGGAAAGCCAGCCGCUCCUGCAUGGCGCCGGGAUCUGUAAAUGGUUCAACGUGCGGAUGGGCUUCGGCUUCCUCUCCAUGACCACCAAGGAAGGCAUCGCCCUCGAAUCCCCCGUGGACGUUUUCGUACAUCAGAGCAAGCUCCACAUGGAAGGCUUUCGCAGCCUGAAGGAGGGAGAGGCAGUCGAAUUCACCUUCAAGAAGUCCUGCAAGGGUUUGGAGUCCAUCCGAGUCACCGGCCCAGGAGGCGUGUUCUGCAUCGGCAGCGAGAGGAGACCCAAAGGGAAAAACCUCCAGAAACGCAGGCCAAAAGGAGAUAGAUGCUCCUGGUACAUGCUGCUGGAACAAUGAAAAAAAGCAAUACUGUAAUAAAAAAUAUACAGAAAAUAAAGAGAACAGUAUGCAAAAAUUACAAAAUACAGACCUCACCCCUUCUGUGUUUCCAGAUGCCCAGCUCUCAAGACUGAACAUCUCUAUACUCACCUGAGAGCCACACCUGCAUCUUGCCACCACAUCUUGCCAUCACACAGUACUGUUUCCCUCUCGCCAAAUGAAAAGUCAAGUGUGGGUUUCUACAAUGCCCAGCCAUGUGGCAAGGCAAGGCAGCAAAUUUUGGUUGCCACUCAAGGGUGGCAGAGUGGGAGACAGGGAGAUCUUGACCCACAAUCUGUCGGGAAGUUUUCCUGUGUGGGCCUCAUUGAAUCUUGACUACUGAGCCCUCACAGAGCCCUUGUUCAUUUCAGUGAGGCCGGCAUGGGAGAUUGUUGCACUAGAUUGUGUCCUACCUAUGUUAAGGCCACAUCCGCAUUAGACAUUUAAAGCUGUACUACACCACUUUAACAGUCAUGACUUACCCCAAAGAAUCCUGGGAACUGUAGUUAGGAGACUCUAAUUCCCUUCAUAGAGCUACAGUUCUCAGAGUGGGUUAACAAUCAAUCCCUCUUCCCAAGGAGCUCUGGGAAUUGUAGCUCUGGAGGUGGAUGGGGUCUCCUAACAACUUUCAGCACCCUUUACAUUUCCCAGGAUGCUUUGGGGGAAGCUGUGACUCUUUAAAAUGGUAUAGUACAGCUUUAAAUAUAUAGUGCAGCUGGAGCUUAAUUUAGAGCAAGGAUCAGAGUGCAACUUCAGGCAGUGAAAUGCCUGGGGCUGGCCGUGGCUUUCCAUAUCGCUCUGGCUUUUUUCUAAUUUUUCUGUGCUCAAGUUAGUCAGAGAGCCUGGGUGUCCUGGGUGUGUUGUUGCGGUGCAACCACACUGAGAGCAUCCCAAGAGGAGUCCAGGCAUUCUGUUUUAGCCAAGUACUGCAGAUGAAUGGCAGCAGGGAGGCCUAGGGUGAUAGUGCUCAAAUUGUCUCUGAAUCUUAACACCUCCACGCUAGAUUCACUAGAGGGUACAGCAGGGGUGGGGGAUCUUGGGCCCUCCAGAUGUUGCUGGAUUGCAACUCCCAUCGUUCUUGCACACUGGCCAUGCUGGCUGGGGCUAUUGGGAGUUGGAGUCCAGCCACAUCUGGAGGGCCACAGGUCCUCACCCUUGGUCUACAAGUUUAGGGUAUAUCUCACUUCUACAUUCUGCUGUUGCAGAAAAAAUGGGGGUUAAUAUUUUCUCUUUAGCUGUUCCUGCGUAGGGCUUACAGGAUUAGUCUCUUCACUUAAUGAGGACCUUUAAGAGUUCAGAGGUCAUAGAAAGUUUCUGUCUUGAUCUUCAGGCCCCACUCUCAUUUAUCACAACCCACCUUUUUUGACCUAGGUGAGGGACUUAAGUCAAACGUCAGUUGUACCUGAGGAGGGUUCCACAAUGUGAGUGAUGCCCUGUGUGUGGCAGAGUUCCAUGUAGCUUUCAGACACUGGGAGCCUGAAGAAACCGGCAGGAGCUGGAGAUACUUUGGCAGACCAGUGAGGGAAGGCAUACCACUUUUGGGGAGUGGGGCGGGUAAGUAAGAAAGGAAGCAGCAUUUGCAAGGAGGGAUGGUUCACAGGCAUGGGAAGUGGAGGGUUCCUUUGCUCAGGGUAGGGGGGAAAAGCUGCCCGCUUAUCUCUUGACUUGUUGAUUCGGUGGUAUAGUUCCAAACACAGGUUCUGCUCUUUAGUUGUACUUUGUAGGGUAGAUAAGCCAAGGCAGGAAAUGGGAAGAGUUGGUUUUGACCCUUUCCAAGAUGGAUGAAUAGCUUGGGUUGGGUGAAGUGAUCUGUUAUUUUGGAUCAGAGUGACCAGCCUUCUCACAGCUGCUGAGAUGUGAAUUUACUGAUAGAUAUUGAGGGGGACUUAAAACCAUCAAAGUGGAAAGUGAAAUUCUUGGCUAAUCUCCAGAGCAUCAGCUAUUUCCUAUGGGCAGAAUUUCCUACCAAAGGAUCAAGUACUUUGAAUAACUAACCAAGGAGGCAGCACCCAUUUAUAAAUAACCUGCGUUGCCAGACAAUUUAUUUCUGACAAAAUCAGAGCUCAGAGCUAAGGAAUUCUUUAUGCUCCCCCUUGCUACAUGGUCUGCAAACAUUUUCAUAAUGCAAGAAAGCAUUUGAUUGUGGGCUUAUGGUCAAGAUCUAAAAUUAUCAGGAAUACAGAGCCAAAUAUUAGAUAAUACUCAACUGCCUGUAGCUGAGAGCAGUUCUUCCCUCCUUUCCUUCUCUCUGUUUCCUGUGUUGGAGGAAUAGUGAUUGCAGUGGGGUGGGUGAAAUAUACUGGAAGUUGAUUUGAAAUUGCUGUGGGGAUCUCUACCAUAUCUACCUCAGGAUAACCUAAAUGUGUCAAUGGGGCCAAAUGCACUGGAUUGUAUUAUUUGCUCUGAGUUGACAGGAAAAAAAGGGAUGCUUCCGCAGAGUGUGUCCAAAGAUGAAAAUGCUGCCCCUUCUAGUUUUUUAUCUGUCUUUAAAAAACAAAACAUAGUAGCAUUGUUUCCCCUGUCCCAUUCUAGAUACUUAGUAUGUGUAAAUAUCUUGUGUAAAUCUUUCUGGCUUCUUUCCAGUUUUCCUCUUUGAUGAUUGUUUACAAACUUGAGGAGAAAAAAAAAUGGCCAUAGUAUGUGAUGGGCAUUUGCACCAGUGGGGUGGGGUGGUGGUAGCCUCUUUGUACCUUACCACUUCGCAACUUUGCCAUGAGAGCUGGUUGGGGGAUCCCUUCCCAUCUCUUCCUACAACCAACACGAGAAUUGGAUUUCUGAAACAGUGAUUUAUCUACUUUAUAUGUUGGGUGAAGAGGAACCUUGUCCUUAAGAAGUUGAUGGCAGCUUCUCUGCUCUCUAGUUUUCAGAAUUGUUUUGGAAAACUGUCAGGUCCGUCUCCCAGGUCUUGUUGAUGAAAUGAUGGUUUCUGAAACUCUUUUGAAUGCAAAUAAAUAGCUGCUUGGAAUAAGCAAUACCAUGACCGUUUUAGACAGUGAUGGACACUAUGCAUUAGGGGUAAACAGUGUGAAUUGCAGGCAGGCUUGUGCCAUGUCUGCACUCAGGGUCACUGUGGAAUAGGGGGUACUGAAUGUACUGGGGUGGGAAGGGUGGCAGCGGUGGGGGCGCACGCGAUGACUUCUUGCGUGGCUACAUGAUUGUGUACUAGGAGACAAACGAAUGUAAUUCCCAUGUUUACUGCUAGCGACCAAAGCUUGUUUUGUGUCAAACUCUUGACUUUUUAUGAAG